Non-coding RNA from Sporobacter termitidis DSM 10068, 265 nucleotides. It matches the Rfam family "Bacterial large signal recognition particle RNA". Rfam says of the family: The signal recognition particle (SRP) is a universally conserved ribonucleoprotein involved in the co-translational targeting of proteins to membranes. Archaeal SRP consists of a 7S RNA and homologues of the eukaryotic SRP19 and SRP54 proteins. In most bacteria, the SRP consists of a 4.5S RNA and the Ffh protein (a homologue of the eukaryotic SRP54 protein). Lineage: Bacteria; Bacillati; Bacillota; Clostridia; Eubacteriales; Oscillospiraceae. The record is from Rfam.
CCGCACUAGUCGGGGAGUCAGCGGUGCCCUGUCGCCUGCAACCCGCUACAGCAGGGAUGAAUCCCGGCCCCCGGAUUUGUGAUGUGUCGUCUGAACCCGGUAAGCAGCGUUGACGAGCCGGUCUCGCGCAACGUAAAUUCGUGAAUCAUGUCAGGCGGGGAACCGAGCAGCAUUAAGCGAAAAUUUGCGUGUGCCGCGAGGCCACCGGUUCUGAGCCGGCUGCCGUUGUUACGGACAUAUCACACUUUCAAAGGCCGGUGUGCGG